GACGAACGCUGGCGGCGUGCCUAACACAUGCAAGUCGAGCGGGGAAUGAUUGGUAGCUUGCUACUGGUUAUUUCUAGCGGCGGACGGGUGAGUAACGCGUGAGCAACCUGCCUUUAUCAGGGGGAUAACGCAUCGAAAGAUGUGCUAAUACCGCGUAAGACCACAGCUUCACAUGGAGCAGGGGUCAAAGGAGCAAUCCGGAUAAAGAUGGGCUCGCGUCCGAUUAGCUAGUUGGUGAGAUAACAGCCCACCAAGGCGACGAUCGGUAGCCGACCUGAGAGGGUGAUCGGCCACAUUGGAACUGAGAAACGGUCCAGACUCCUACGGGAGGCAGCAGUGGGGAAUAUUGGGCAAUGGGCGAAAGCCUGACCCAGCAACGCCGCGUGAGGGAAGAAGGGUUUCGGCUCGUAAACCUCUGUCCUAUGGGACGAAGGAAGUGACGGUACCAUAGGAGGAAGCCCCGGCUAACUACGUG
RNAcentral lists this ribosomal RNA (475 nucleotides) under uncultured organism. RNAcentral's name for it is "bacterial SSU rRNA". It matches the Rfam family "Bacterial small subunit ribosomal RNA", at positions 28 to 507 of the family's 1533-position model. The record is from RNAcentral.